GAUUGAACGCUGGCGGCAUGCUUUACACAUGCAAGUCGAACGGCAGCACGGGUGCUUGCACCUGGUGGCGAGUGGCGAACGGGUGAGUAAUGCAUCGGAACGUGCCCAUGAGUGGGGGAUAGCCCGGCGAAAGCCGGAUUAAUACCGCAUACGCCCUUAGGGGGAAAGCGGGGGAUCUUCGGACCUCGCGCUAUUGGAGCGGCCGAUGUCGGAUUAGCUAGUAGGUGAGGUAAAGGCUCACCUAGGCGACGAUCCGUAGCUGGUCUGAGAGGAUGAUCAGCCACACUGGGACUGAGACACGGCCCAGACUCCUACGGGAGGCAGCAGUGGGGAAUUUUGGACAAUGGGCGCAAGCCUGAUCCAGCCAUGCCGCGUGAGUGAAGAAGGCCUUCGGGUUGUAAAGCUCUUUCAGGUGGAAAGAAAUAGCGCUGUUUAAUAGAUGGCGUUGAUGACGGUACCACCAGAAGAAGCACCGGCUAACUACGUG
Molecule: ribosomal RNA, 487 nt
Filed under: uncultured bacterium
Lineage: Bacteria
Description: bacterial SSU rRNA
Rfam family: Bacterial small subunit ribosomal RNA
Source: RNAcentral